Molecule: long non-coding RNA, 414 nt
Organism: Acanthopagrus latus (yellowfin seabream)
Lineage: Eukaryota; Metazoa; Chordata; Actinopteri; Spariformes; Sparidae
Exons: 4
Source: RefSeq, a predicted model, not a curated record
GGCCUAGAAUUGACAAUUGCCAGGGCCUGGCAGGGAAAUGAGGACCUCACCGUGACCAAAUGGUGGCACUGUAGCCCCACAAAUGAGGAGGCGCCUUCUCAUGGCCAGGCUGUCGGACUGAUUCCAAUCCAAGCUGGAGCCACAGGAGUGUGAAAUAACAAGCACAAGAGGGAUUUCACGCCUUUACAGAGCUGAAAAGGGGGGCGGACGUGCUGACAGGAAAUCAAUGCUCGGUUUCCCAUGAGCACCUAAUUAGCCGGACACUUGUGCACCGUUGAGACACGGGCUGGAUCUCUUUGUCUGCCGAGUUGAUCAGUGCCAGUCUGCGGGCCAGAAGACAAUCAGACCAGAAGGGUCAUUUUCUGCAAGAGCUCACCUCCCUCCUCCAAGCCUCGCCGCUGACAGGCUCACGCU